RNAcentral lists this unclassified non-coding RNA (692 nucleotides) under Hevea brasiliensis (rubber tree). Lineage: Eukaryota; Viridiplantae; Streptophyta; Magnoliopsida; Malpighiales; Euphorbiaceae. The record is from RNAcentral.
GUAAUUGCAAAGGUCUGUGUACGAUAUUUGAUUCAACAUAUAACAAUAAAGUCCAUUUCCCUAAAUUUCUUCUUGAUUAUUUUAAUACAUUUGUUUGUUUGGAAGUUCAAACAUGGCUUCUGCCUAUCAACUCAUGCUGUUGCUAAAAUAUUAUUGAUUUAUUUCUUUUCUAAUUCUGUAAACAGAUUAUUGACAUCUCUGUUAUCUUUAUUUUUGUUUCUUUUUGCUCUUUUUAUGGAGUGAACAAGUUGAUCAUGUAAAAAGAUGGGAAAAGGUUGAGUUGGUGGAUGAAGAACUUAGUUUGUAGUAUAAUUGAACUGACGACUCAUCUCUUCAAACUUAUUUUGUCAUAUACUAAAAUAUGAAUUUAUGUAGAUUUGAUAGUUUUUUUUCCAUCAUUGAAAUUAUCUAUUGGUGUUAGGCACCAUUGAUCUGGUGUGUGUUAACUGUCUGUAAACUGUAAUCAUGCUUGAUAGUAUUUAACUUGCUGCUGACUGCAUGCAAAAAAAGAUGUAGGUAGGAGGGGUAACAGUUUUUUUUUUAAUCAAAUUUAAGGGAGAAGAUAUUCUAUUGCUGAGAUGAAAUGUAAAGGAGCAAAAAGAGGUUCUUAUUUGUUAUCUUCUUGGAUGCACCAUUUUGUUGACAGAUUUGAGAGAUGCCUUUAUCUGAGAAGUAAAAGCAGGGUGAGAAUG